This is a small nuclear RNA of Myripristis murdjan (pinecone soldierfish), 106 nucleotides long. The record is from Ensembl. NCBI's taxonomy places the organism in Eukaryota, Metazoa, Chordata, Actinopteri, Holocentriformes, Holocentridae.
GUGUAACUUGACAGCACAUCCCAUACACCUGGAACGAUACAGAGAAGAUUAGCAUGGACCUUUUACAAAAUAUGAUUUGAAAUGAUUUGUGUUGUUUUAAUAAGUU